RNAcentral lists this transfer RNA (77 nucleotides) under Mollicutes bacterium. RNAcentral describes it as "tRNA-Ile". It matches the Rfam family "tRNA". From Rfam's summary of the family: Transfer RNA (tRNA) molecules are approximately 80 nucleotides in length. The record is from RNAcentral. Lineage: Bacteria; Bacillati; Mycoplasmatota; Mollicutes.
GGACCUGUAGCUCAGGUGGUUAGAGCGCACGCCUGAUAAGCGUGAGGUCGAUGGUUCAAGUCCAUCCAGGUCCACCA